This 28-nucleotide non-coding RNA is filed under the name unclassified sequences. Its description in RNAcentral is "L19-Flavobacteria ribosomal protein leader". It matches the Rfam family "L19-Flavobacteria ribosomal protein leader". The record is from RNAcentral.
UAACCUCUAGCGAAAAUCGUGAAUGUUG